CCUUGUCGGGGCUGUACUGCCCACAGCUCGGCGGGGACCGGGUCAGCGUCUGCGGCCGCCUGGCUCCCUCCCUCCCCCGCCGCCCGGGCGUCGUGGGAAGAAAGGACUCCGCCCUCCAGGGUCCCUGCGUCUGCGGGAUCUCGGGCUCUAGGGGGGCUGGGGGAGCUCGCGGAGGGGAACCGGCACCUCCCCGUGCCACCACCUCGCCGAGGACGCCCCCUUCGCUUCCCGGGCCCACGCGGGUGGUUGCAACCGGCGAAGAUCCGAGCCCAGGGGACCCAGAAGGACAGAAGCUCCCCCUCCUCGGGCCCCAGCACCCACUUGGACUCCCGGGGCGACGCGCCGGGCACAGCGCACUCACUAGGCGGGAAGGACGCAGAGAUCUAAGAUGACCCGCCUUUGCAGAGGUCGCCCCUCGCAGCAUUCCCACCGCUGCGACACCCCUUGGCUGGAGGGAGGGCCAAGCUGGCUCCUCGGGCCUGGCCCUCCCCGACUGGCGGCCGAGGCCCCUGCCCUGCUGGAAACGCCUGACGGGGGCGCCAGCUGCCUUCAGAGCCGGUGCAGCCAGCAGGGUCACACCAGGCCCCUCCACAGGACUCUCCCGUGACCCCCUGGAAAGUACACAUCUGGGGUGCUGGGGAUCGAACUAGGGACCUUGUGCAGGCCCCGGAAGUAUGAAGAUUUUCUAAUGCAAUCUUUCCACCACCUCCCCACUUUUGUUGAACUUUUUUUGUUUGUUUUUUGAGACAGGGUCUCCAUAUAUAACCAACACUGCCCUCAAACUCAGCAAUCUUCCUGUCUCAGCGUCCCAGAGUGUUGAUUUCACAGGCAUGCACCACCAUGCCCGGGUGUUUAACACAUUCUUCUGAAAAAUUCCAAACAUGCAAAAGUGAAUGAAGCUAAGUGUAAUAGCGCAUGCCUGUAAUCCUAGCACUUGGAAGGCUGAGGCAGGAGGAUUGCUUCAAGUUCCAGGCCAGACUGGGCUACAUGAUGGGAGCAGCUUCGUGGAAGAUGGGGUUCGUCAUGCUGGAUAUGUGGUAACCAUGAAGGAUGAAGUGAUCCUAGCCAGGGCCCCUUCCUUAGUCAGCACAGUGUGCUAAGCUCUGGGCAUUCAUACAGGCACUCCGAUGGGCAAAGGGUAAAAAGGUAAAUAUAUAUAUACGGACUUUCGCUAUGCAUUUGCUACAUUACACAUCAUUGGCAUGAUUUACCGAGAGCAACGUCUUCUCAUGGCAGAAGGGAAGCUAAUUAAAAAUA
This is a long non-coding RNA of Heterocephalus glaber (naked mole-rat), 1257 nucleotides long. NCBI's taxonomy places the organism in Eukaryota, Metazoa, Chordata, Mammalia, Rodentia, Bathyergidae. The record is from Ensembl.